RNAcentral lists this ribosomal RNA (333 nucleotides) under Bacillus cereus. RNAcentral's name for it is "bacterial SSU rRNA". It matches the Rfam family "Bacterial small subunit ribosomal RNA", at positions 1 to 321 of the family's 1533-position model. Lineage: Bacteria; Bacillati; Bacillota; Bacilli; Caryophanales; Bacillaceae. The record is from RNAcentral.
UUUAUUGGAGAGUUUGAUCCUGGCUCAGGAUGAACGCUGGCGGCGUGCCUAAUACAUGCAAGUCGAGCGAAUGGAUUAAGAGCUUGCUCUUAUGAAGUUAGCGGCGGACGGGUGAGUAACACGUGGGUAACCUGCCCAUAAGACUGGGAUAACUCCGGGAAACCGGGGCUAAUACCGGAUAACAUUUUGAACCGCAUGGUUCGAAAUUGAAAGGCGGCUUCGGCUGUCACUUAUGGAUGGACCCGCGUCGCAUUAGCUAGUUGGUGAGGUAACGGCUCACCAAGGCAACGAUGCGUAGCCGACCUGAGAGGGUGAUCGGCCACACUGGGACUG